Molecule: long non-coding RNA, 119 nt
Organism: Homalodisca vitripennis (glassy-winged sharpshooter)
Lineage: Eukaryota; Metazoa; Arthropoda; Insecta; Hemiptera; Cicadellidae
Exons: 2
Source: RefSeq, a predicted model, not a curated record
UUGAGGAACAUAAUUUGUAAAACCAACUUUAACGUCAAGAGGAUUUUGAACUGCGAGAGCUUAAGUAUAAAAAAUGGUUGAAAAAGAAAGUCAUUGUUUUAUUGUUGGUGAAAAUCAGG